ACGGAGGAUGCGAGCGUUAUCCGGAUUUAUUGGGUUUAAAGGGUGCGUAGGCGGCCCUAUAAGUCAGCGGUGAAAUGUUCCGGCUCAACCGGGAAACUGCCGUUGAAACUGUAGAGCUAGAGUCCACAAGAGGUAUGCGGAAUGCGUGGUGUAGCGGUGAAAUGCAUAGAUAUCACGCAGAACCCCGAUUGCGAAGGCAGCAUACUGGGGUGAAACAGACGCUGAAGCACGAAAGCGUGGGUAUCGAACAG
This 251-nucleotide ribosomal RNA is filed under the name uncultured bacterium. Its description in RNAcentral is "partial 16S ribosomal RNA". It matches the Rfam family "Bacterial small subunit ribosomal RNA", at positions 525 to 775 of the family's 1533-position model. RNAcentral also lists the same sequence under 1 other name. The record is from RNAcentral.